Non-coding RNA from Schistosoma mattheei, 45 nucleotides. The record is from Rfam. NCBI's taxonomy places the organism in Eukaryota, Metazoa, Platyhelminthes, Trematoda, Strigeidida, Schistosomatidae.
AUCCAACUGACGAGUCUCAAACUAAACGAAACUCACGUUCUGGAU